RNAcentral lists this ribosomal RNA (509 nucleotides) under uncultured Flavobacterium sp. Its description in RNAcentral is "bacterial SSU rRNA". It matches the Rfam family "Bacterial small subunit ribosomal RNA", at positions 9 to 516 of the family's 1533-position model. Lineage: Bacteria; Pseudomonadati; Bacteroidota; Flavobacteriia; Flavobacteriales; Flavobacteriaceae. The record is from RNAcentral.
GAGUUUGAUCAUGGCUCAGAUUGAACGCUGGCGGCAUGCCUAACACAUGCAAGUCGAGGGGUAGAGUUAGCUUGCUAACUUGAGACCGGCGCACGGGUGCGUAACGCGUAUGCAAUCUACCUUGUACAGGGGGAUAGCCCAGAGAAAUUUGGAUUAAUACCCCAUAGUGUUAUUGAAUGGCAUCAUUUGAUAACUAAAGUUCCAACGGUACAAGAUGAGCAUGCGUCCCAUUAGCUAGUUGGUGUGGUAACGGCAUACCAAGGCAAUGAUGGGUAGGGGUCCUGAGAGGGAGAUCCCCCACACUGGUACUGAGACACGGACCAGACUCCUACGGGAGGCAGCAGUGAGGAAUAUUGGUCAAUGGGCGCAAGCCUGAACCAGCCAUGCCGCGUGCAGGAUGACGGUCCUAUGGAUUGUAAACUGCUUUUAUACGGGAAGAAACCACCCCCUUGUGAAGGGACUUGACGGUACCGUAAGAAUAAGGAUCGGCUAACUCCGUGCCAGCCGCC